This 497-nucleotide ribosomal RNA is filed under the name uncultured bacterium. RNAcentral describes it as "partial 16S ribosomal RNA". It matches the Rfam family "Bacterial small subunit ribosomal RNA", at positions 28 to 507 of the family's 1533-position model. The record is from RNAcentral.
GACGAACGCUGGCGGCGUGCCUAAUACAUGCAAGUUGAGCGAUGAAGAUUGGUGCUUGCACCAAUUUGAAGAGCAGCGAACGGGUGAGUAACGCGUGGGGAAUCUGCCUUUGAGCGGGGGACAACAUUUGGAAACGAAUGCUAAUACCGCAUAAUAACUUUAAACAUAAGUUUUAAGUUUGAAAGAUGCAAUUGCAUCACUCAAAGAUGAUCCCGCGUUGUAUUAGCUAGUUGGUGAGGUAAAGGCUCACCAAGGCGAUGAUACAUAGCCGACCUGAGAGGGUGAUCGGCCACAUUGGGACUGAGACACGGCCCAAACUCCUACGGGAGGCAGCAGUAGGGAAUCUUCGGCAAUGGACGAAAGUCUGACCGAGCAACGCCGCGUGAGUGAAGAAGGUUUUCGGAUCGUAAAACUCUGUUGGUAGAGAAGAACGUUGGUGAGAGUGGAAAGCUCAACAAGUGACGGUAACUACCCAGAAAGGGACGGCUAACUACGUG